This 200-nucleotide ribosomal RNA is filed under the name uncultured bacterium. RNAcentral's name for it is "partial 16S ribosomal RNA". It matches the Rfam family "Bacterial small subunit ribosomal RNA", at positions 30 to 232 of the family's 1533-position model. The record is from RNAcentral.
AUUGAACGCUGGCGGCAUGCCUUACACAUGCAAGUCGAACGGUAACAGGUCUUCGGAUGCUGACGAGUGGCGAACGGGUGAGUAAUACAUCGGAACGUGCCCGAUCGUGGGGGAUAACGGAGCGCAAGCUUUGCUAAUACCGCAUACGAUCUACGGAUGAAAGCAGGGGACCGCAAGGCCUUGCGCGGACGGAGCGGCCG